RNAcentral lists this ribosomal RNA (494 nucleotides) under uncultured bacterium. RNAcentral describes it as "partial 16S ribosomal RNA". It matches the Rfam family "Bacterial small subunit ribosomal RNA", at positions 28 to 504 of the family's 1533-position model. The record is from RNAcentral.
GAUGAACGCUGGCGGCGUGCCUAAUACAUGCAAGUCGAGCGAACAGACGCGGUGCUUGCUCCUCUGACGUUAGCGGCGGACGUGUGAGUAACACAUGGAUCAUCUCCCUAUAAGACUGGGAUAACUUCGGGAAACCGGAGCUACUACCUGAUAAUAUAUUGCACCGCUUUGUUCAAUAGUGAAAGACGGUUUUGCUGUCAUAUAUAGUUUGGUCCGCGCCUCAUUAGCUAGUUGGUCAGGUAACAGCUUACCAAGGCGAGGAGGCGUAGCCGACCUGAGAGAGUGAUCGGCCACACAGGAACAGAGAGAUAGGCCAGACUCCUACGCGGGACAGAGGAAUGAGGUCUACCGGAAAGUGCGAGAGACUGACAUAGCGACACCGCGUGUGUAAUAAGAGUCUUCGAAGCGUAAAACUCUGUUAUUAUAAAAGAACAAUUGUGUAAGUAACUAGGCACGUCACGACGGUACCUAAACAGAAAGCCACGGCUAACGAC